GGUUCCAUGGAAAUUGGAAAGUCUCCUGAGCUAAACAAAACCUCCAAAGUCGAUCACACCAAUCCUUGCGCCUUCUUCCUAACCUCCAAAAGUCACCCUUCACAAUUCUCUCGUAACAACAACAUCAUCAAUGGCCGCUACCACCAACAAAGACGAAGCCAUUAGCACCAGUGCAUCUUCUUCUUCUUCUCCAGUCUUCAUAUCCACAGAGACCCUAUUCACCAUCCUUACCCAUCACACUCUGAUGAACCACCUCCAAUCCACUCUCCCCAAAGCAUCAACCAUUCUCCAAACCCCAAUUCGCCAACACCACUCUCUCUUUCCUUCCUCCUCCCUCCUCCUCAUGCCUUCAUGGUCCUCUUCCCCUUCUCUCCCUUACAUCGGCGUCAAACUCGUUACCCAUUUCCCUCAAAACUCUUCUAUCAACUUACCCGGCGUGCAGGGAAGCUAUGUCCUCUUCAGUUCCACCACCGGCCAAACCCUAGCUUCCAUGAACUCCACCGAACUCACCCUUUACAGAACCUCAUGUGUCUAAGGCUUGGCUUCCAAAUACUUAGCGAGACAUGACAGCGAGGUUCUUGUUAUGGUAGGUGCUAGUUCCUUGGCACCGCGCCUGAUCAAAGCCCAUCUUUCAGCCAUACCCAGUUUGAGAAAAGUCAUCAUCUGGAACAGAACAGUGGGAAAGGCGACAAAUUUGGUCAAAGUGGGGAAUUUGGUGGAGUGAGCUUCGAGGGUUGUGGCUGUUUGGACGAGGUUGUCGGAUUUGGGGACAUUGUGAGUUGCGCCACGAAUUCCGAGACACCCCUUGUGAAGGGUGUGAGGUUGAAGGGUGGGGCGCAUUUGGAUUUGGUGGGUUCCUUCAAGCCUUCGAUGAUGGAGUGUGAUGAUGAGGCCAUAAGGAGGGGAAAGGUUUUUGUGGACAAUGAGGCUGCAUUAGUUGAAGCAGGGGAGCUGGUGGGUGCUUUUGAGAGAGGGGUCAUCAAGAGAGAUGAAAUUGGAGGGAGUUUGGUGGAGCUUGUGAGAGGUGACAAAGUUGGGAGAAGCAGUUCUGAGCAGAUUACUGUGUUCAUGUCUGUUGGUUCUGCUGUUGUAGAUAUGCUUGCGGCAGUUUGUUUAUGAGACUUACACAAGGAGCUAGGUACACUAUCUUGAGUGUAGUUUAUGCUAUAUUGUUCAAUAAGAUUUAUCAAGUUCGUAAAUCUCACCUUGCAGUGGUUCUAAGUAGUUUAUGUAACCGAUGAUUACUGUUUCUUGAUGCUUCUAUACAACAUUUGUAAGAUGAAUAUACUUAAAACGAAGUUGUAUUUUUACCAAGGGAGAAAUUUGGCACAUGUUCAUGAAUCGUGUUAACUAUGGCAUUGCAGCUCUUUUCUCAUUUCCAAGUGCCUAGAGAGAGUUACUUUGGGAGUUAUCAGCCAUCUUGUUGGCAGCAUCAAAUAUUCAAAUAUUUAGUAUGAUUCAAUUAGAAGCAUCGCUUUAUGCCUUACUUCCCUAUGUAAAAAUUUAACUAUGAUAGGCAAAAUUGACUUGUGAGCAUAUUCUUUCUAGUGCAUUGGGCAUGUCACAAGUCAACUCAUUCUAGAAGUGAAACUUUCAAUAGGUUUUGUAAUUAGACCACUUUGUUUUUCAUGUAAUGCACGGAAGGCAGUUUCUCCUUGGAUCAUCUUAUCAAUCCUUCAUAGAACAUGUGGGAAUGGAUCCUCUCGUGUUAAACUUUCACAUAACCAUACCAUGUGAAAGUUUGUUUUAUCUAUCUUGUUCUUCAUAGAAAUUAAAUGGGUGGGACCAUAUUAAAAUUUGUGUAUAUGUAUAAAGAGAAAUAAACACAAUUUUCACGUGAUAUGGUCAUGUGAAAAUUCAACAUGAGAAGAUUCAUUCCUUACAUCAUACAUACCAAUAGAAAGAUUAAAAGCACCAAGUUGCAAAUCUACGAGCAGCAGUUUAUCUUCCAGAGCCGGACAUCGCAAGGUGUGGUGUUUGAGAAA
Molecule: RNA transcript, 1985 nt
Organism: Glycine soja
Lineage: Eukaryota; Viridiplantae; Streptophyta; Magnoliopsida; Fabales; Fabaceae
Source: RefSeq, a predicted model, not a curated record